Molecule: unclassified non-coding RNA, 227 nt
Filed under: Hevea brasiliensis (rubber tree)
Lineage: Eukaryota; Viridiplantae; Streptophyta; Magnoliopsida; Malpighiales; Euphorbiaceae
Source: RNAcentral
CGGGGAUCUUGCCGGUGCCGUAGGAGUCGACGAACACGGAGAGCGGCUCGGGGACGCCGAUGGCGUACGACACCUGCACGAUGCAGCGGCGGGCGAGGCCGCUGGCGACGAUGCUCUUGGCGGCCUGCCUGGCGAUGUAGGCGCCGCUCCGGUCGACCUUGGUCGGGUCCUUGCCGGAGAAGGCGCCGCCGCCGUGCGCGCCCCAUCCGCCGUAGGUGUCGAUGAUG